GAACACGCAUGGCAUGCCGCCUUACUCCCCUCGUGUGCAUCCUAGACCGAAGAAAAAAUAAGAGAGCACAAGAGCCUUGCAACGCGACAGUGAACAGCUGCGCUGCCGCCACGCCACUGGCUCCCUUAGCAUCGGUUUUCUGUCUGCUUCGCGUGUCUGUUCCUGCGCAUCUUCUUACCCACGUGCUACGCAACGCCUUCAUAGAUAAUAGUCUCCCCACCUGGUGUGGUGUCUGUCCGUUUCUCGACCGACUCCGCCUGUUCCUCCUUUCGCCUCUCUGUCGCUGUACCUUAGAGCACGCCGUGACGAGAUAAUGUCGCAGGAAGAAGCAGAGUCCCGGUUCGACUUCAACGAAGGCACCGGUGUAACAUUGGGCUCCUUGCCCUGCUUCACUACCGUGCCCACUCGCGGAGCUGCUGGCAAGGCGCUGGAGGCGGCAUUGGAGCCACUUCACCGCAUCGCCUACGGCCGUGCCGGCAACAAUGGCAAGCGCCGCGCUGCCCUCGCCAGCUUCAAGGGAUUCCCGGCCUCGAUGGAGGCGGAGGUAGCGGAGAAGAUUGCGAAGCUGACGAAGGACCGUCUUCGCGAUGUUAUCAAGGCCCUCGGUAUCAACGUGCACAUCUCGCUCUCGCAUGCCGAGGUGGCGGCCGGGGUCACGAAGUUCUUGAUGGCCCCGCGCGACGAUGGCAGGUUCAAGGUCAGCAGCCCGGCGGCAGCCAAGUCCAAGAAGGUAUCACCGGUGAAGCGGCCAGCGCCUGCCGGUCCGGAUGACGAGUCAGAGGUAAAGAAGUCGCGUCCAGAGCCGCCAGCACUUUCGUCCGCAGCGGCGGCGCCUGCGGCCUCCUCUGCGUCUGCCGCCUCCGCCGGCCCGUCGGAUGACGCGGUGCUCGUCGAGGUCUACCGCCGCGUUCUCGCCAUGACCCCUGAAGACCGCGCCGUUCUCGGGGUCAAGGCGCUCCGCACCAGCCUAGAGGAGCACUUCAAGCUGACUGCCGGCGGUCUGCGCCACAAGAAGGGGAUCAUCACCACCGCGGCCUCUGAGUGCGUGCGGGCACUCAAGGAGGCAGAGAUGCGGGCGGCGGCGGCAGCCGUGCAGGGCGUCAGUGACGCGCUUUCCACCUCCUCUCCCACGAGUGCAGAGCAAACGGCGGCCCCUGCGCCUUCUGGGCCCGAGGUGCUCGAUAGCACCGCACCGGCCCCCGUUGCGUCGCCGACACCCUGACCCACGAGGCGACUAGAGUGCCGACACAGGUGCCCGCUGCGGCCGCUCCCUCAGCAGUUGGCGGUGGUGGCACCAGUGGGGUGAUCGCCCCACGGGGUCGGCUCUCUCUAAGCGACAGAUGUGCGCAGCGAGUGUGCGGGCACCUUUGUUUGUGUGUGCAUGUGCUGGACGGUGAGGCGGCCCGGAGGGCAGCGCGGCGAUGCGUUCCGUGCGCUCCACGUUGCUCCCCCCAUCUUCCUCCCCUGUGCGCGCCCACCCAUGGCAGAGAUGACCUU
This 1497-nucleotide unclassified non-coding RNA is filed under the name Leishmania donovani. RNAcentral's name for it is "gene:LdHU3.14.1660(CDS-product:hypothetical_prote in_conserved)". Lineage: Eukaryota; Euglenozoa; Kinetoplastea; Trypanosomatida; Trypanosomatidae. The record is from RNAcentral.